CCCGCACAAGCGGUGGAGCAUGUGGUUUAAUUCGAUGCAACGCGAAGAACCUUACCUGGGCUUGACAUCCCGAGAAUCCCCUGGAAACAGGGGAGUGCCUUUCGGGGAACUCGGAGACAGGUGCUGCAUGGCUGUCGUCAGCUCGUGUCGUGAGAUGUUGGGUUAAGUCCCGCAACGAGCGCAACCCUUGUCUUUAAUUGCCAGCAUUCAGUUGGGCACUUUAAAGAGACUGCCGGUGUUAAGCCGGAGGAAGGUGGGAUGACGUCAAGUCCUCAUGGCCUUUAUGCCCAGGGCUACACACGUGCUACAAUGGGUGGUACAAAGAGAUGCCAACUCGCGAGAGCGCGCCAAUCUCAGAAAGCCAUCCUCAGUUCGGAUUGGAGUCUGCAACUCGACUCCAUGAAGUUGGAAUCGCUAGUAAUCGCGGAUCAGCACGCCGCGGUGAAUACGUUCCCGGGGCUU
Molecule: ribosomal RNA, 462 nt
Filed under: uncultured Syntrophus sp.
Lineage: Bacteria; Pseudomonadati; Thermodesulfobacteriota; Syntrophia; Syntrophales; Syntrophaceae
Description: bacterial SSU rRNA
Rfam family: Bacterial small subunit ribosomal RNA
Source: RNAcentral